This 467-nucleotide ribosomal RNA is filed under the name uncultured bacterium. RNAcentral's name for it is "partial 16S ribosomal RNA". It matches the Rfam family "Bacterial small subunit ribosomal RNA", at positions 28 to 507 of the family's 1533-position model. The record is from RNAcentral.
GACGAACGCUGGCGGCGUGCUUAACACAUGCAAGUCGAACGGAAAGGCCCUGCUUUUGUGGGGUGCUCGAGUGGCGAACGGGUGAGUAACACGUGAGUAACCUGCCCUUGACUUUGGGAUAACUUCAGGAAACUGGGGCUAAUACCGGAUAGGAGCUCCUGCUGCAUGGUGGGGGUUGGAAAGUUUCGGCGGUUGGGGAUGGACUCGCGGCUUAUCAGCUUGUUGGUGGGGUAGUGGCUUACCAAGGCUUUGACGGGUAGCCGGCCUGAGAGGGUGACCGGCCACAUUGGGACGGAGAUACGGCCAGACUCCUACGGGAGGCAGCAGUGGGGAAUAUUGCACAAUGGGCGGAAGCCUGAUGCAGCAACGCCGCGUGCGGGAUGACGGCCUUCGGGUUGUAAACCGCUUUCGCCUGUGACGAAGCGUGAGUGACGGUAAUGGGUAAAGAAGCACCGGCUAACUACGUG